RNAcentral lists this ribosomal RNA (1862 nucleotides) under uncultured eukaryote. Its description in RNAcentral is "partial Bacterial large subunit ribosomal RNA". It matches the Rfam family "Bacterial large subunit ribosomal RNA", at positions 1 to 1992 of the family's 2925-position model. The record is from RNAcentral.
CACAAAGGGCACAUGGCGGAUGACUUGGCGUCAAGAGGCGAUGAAAGACGUUGGAACCUGCGAAAAGCUACAGGGAGCUGGUAACCAAGCUGUGAUCUGUAGAUAUCUGAAUGGGGAAACCCACCCGCAAGGGUAUCGUAUACUGAAUGCAUAGGUAUACGAGGCAAACCUGGGGAACUGAAACAUCUAAGUACCCAGAGGAAAGGAAAGCAAUAUGCGACUCCGUAAGUAGCGGCGAGCGAAAGCGGAUAGAUGUGAACCUACGAACACGAAGGAAUGCGUGACCAAAGACGGUGAAAGUCCGGUAGUAGGGUGUAGCAUCAUAGCCCUCGAUUAGGCUCGGGCUCGUGGAACCCGGGUUGAACAUGGGAGGUCCACCUUCCAAGGCUAAGUACUCCUUGACGACCGAUAGCGAAGAAGUAAAGUGAUUGAAAGUUGAAAAGCACCCCUAUUAGGGGGAUGAAAUAGUUCCUGAAACCAUGUGCCUACAAGCGGUCGGAGCCCUCAGGGGUGACGGCGUGCUUUUUGCAUAAUGAGCCCGCGAGUUAGUCUCAGUGGCGAGCCUAAGGUCUACCGGACCGGAGGCGGAGCGAAAGCGAGUCUGAAUAGGGCGACCAUAGUUAGUAGUAGUAGACGCGAAACCGUGCGAUCUACCCAUGGGCAGGUUGAAGCUGUGGUAACACAUAGUGGAGGACCGAACCCGUUGACGUUGAAAAGUCUUGGGAUGACCUGUGGGUAGGGGUGAAAGGCCAAUCAAGCUCGGAAAUAGCUCGUACUCCCCGAAAUGCAUUUAGGUGCAGCGUGUAGAUAGUUUUAUAGAGGUAGAGCUACUGAUUGGAUGCGGGGGCUUCACCGCCUACCAAUUCCUGACAAACUCCGAAUGCUAUAAAAUGUUUCUGCGCAGUGAGGGCAUGGGUGCUAAGGUCCAUGUCCGAGAGGGAAAGAACCCAGAUCACCGGCUAAGGUCCCAAAGUAUAUACUAAGUUGAUAUAACGCGGUGGAACUGCAUUGACAGCCAGGAUGUUGGCUUGGAAGCAGCCAUUCAUUUAAAGAGUGCGUAACAGCUCACUGGUCGAGCGGUUCCGCAUGGAUAAUAAUCGGGCAUAAGCAUAUCACCGAAGCUGUGACUUCUGUACUCGGUACAGAGGGGUAGGGGAGCAUUGUAGUGCCGCUGAAGGCGAUCUGUAAGGGUUGCUGGAGGAGCUACAAACGAAAAUGUAGGCAUAAGUAACGAUAAUGCGGGCGAGAAACCCGCACGCCGAAAGACCAAGGUUUCCCCAGCUAUGCUAAUCAGCUGGGGGUCAGUCGGGACCUAACGCGAACCCGAAGGGGAUAGUGGAUGGACAACAGAUUAAUAUUUCUGUACCUGCUCACAUUAAAAGUGACGGGGAUGUGGCGUUGGUGCGUACUGACGGAAUAGUACGUUGAAGGGAGCGGUGACGCCCCGAUAGUACACUGAGGCUCCGGCCAAGGUGAUAAUCCAGCUUAACAUCCUCCGAGAAAACCAAGUGAAGCAGCCCGUACCGCAAACCGACACAGGUGGUUGGGAUGAGUAUUCUAAGGCGCUCGAGAGAUUCAUGGCUAAGGAACUAGGCAAAAUAGACCCGUAACUUCGGGAGAAGGGUCGCCACGCUUCUAGCGUGGCCGCAGUGAAGAGGUCCAGGCGACUGUUUAUCAAAAACACAGGGCUCUGCAAAAUCGAAAGAUGAAGUAUAGGGCCUGACACCUGCCCGGUGCUGGAAGGUUAAGAGGAGAUGUCAUUCGCAAGGAGAAGCAUUGAAUUGAAGCCCCAGUAAACGGCGGCCGUAACAAUAACGGUCCUAAGGUAGCGAAAUUCCUUGUCGGGUAAGUUCCGACCUGCA